CCCCCUCCGUCCAGCUAUCUAUCAAUUACAACAGCCCUUUCACCAGCAACUCAUCCCAACAGUCCCGCCAGUCAAAAUGCCAAAUAAAUUCCACUCUCAGAAAAUCAUCAUCCCUCCACUUUCAAUGCAAAACAGAUCCCAGGUGGAUUGGGUUGGGCAUCCCGCAAUGACUCCAGGGCUCUCUACUUGUGAUUGAACCAGGGACCCAUCGCACUGUUGACGUGCCUGUUGCUGUGGUGCAUCCCUACGCCAUUGGGCAUGACGGAAGGGGGAAGCCCCGCCGCCACUUGAGGGGGCGUGGUCGGAUACAACCCGUGAUUGUGCGGCGGUAGCGUGUGGGGACUCAUGAUAGGACUGCUAAGAGGGCUGCCCUUACGUUGUUGCUGAAUGGCGUGGAUCUGCCUAAGCCCUUCUUCAUGAAUGCGCGAGAUCGUCUCCAACUCUGUCAUUGAAAGUGCAUCCAGACCAGCACCGUACAGAGGAGCAUGCCUAGACAUUUCUUCCCGGAGUUGAGUAUCGAGUGAUUGGAUAUAUUCCUGCAAAGAGGAGGUGAAAUCUAAGCAACAAAGAGAAAGCAGGACAACCCAAAUUAAUACUAAAGCAUAUGCUUGAAUGAGUUGUUGGCACAAACCUGGUAGGCUUCCAAUCGUGCUUGCAUACCAUGAAUACGUUCUUCAUAUUCAGCAAUCCGCUCAUCUUUUUUCCGCUUUUCUCCUUCAGUUUGUCCCACUGUUUGUCUCAAUCUUCUAAUCUCGUCCUCAAGGGACUGCCGAAUCUGUUCUCCAGUCACAUUUUCCAUCUCGUACCGCUUCGGCUCUUCAUCAGAUCUUUUCCUCCCAGCUUCCGCACUCUUCAGCCUUUCAGCAAGGGGGUCCUUUUCCUCUGCCACUUUCUGUUCCAUUCACAUAUUUUGGUUGAAAAGACAUCAAUUAGCAUAUUUCCUAAGGCAGGAAAAAAGGAGAUAAAUCCAAUUCAUCCAACUCCACCCUGGUCAUCCAAAGCAAUUUCCCAUGCAAUCUUCUGAAAAAACACUAGCCAAUAGAUAAUAUUUUCCCCUUCUUGGAGAGAUGUAGGCAACACAUAUAAACCAAAACCAAGACCUCUUGAGACUUAGUAAGAGAAGCCAUCACUAAGCCAAAUCCUUACUCCCUCACAUGGGAAAUGCAAUGUUUAGAAAUGCACAAGUUGACAUGAAAAGAAAGCAAAAGAACUUGAUUAAGGAUAAAUAAAGCGACAGAAGCAGUGAAAGACAACCUCCAAUUCUUCACUAUGACGAGUCUUCAGCUGCAAAAUCUCCGACUCUGCAUCAUGAAGACGAUCUUGAAGGGCCUCCUUCUCAGAAGUGAGCUUUGCAAUUUCCUCCGCUCUCUCAGAGCGAAGCUCCUCAAGCUGGUUCUCUAGGUCCUGGACUUGGUCAGAUAAUUCUUUCUUUUCUCGUGCAAAACGAUCCAUCUCAGCCUCCAUCUCAGACUGCCAAUUAUAGAAAGUGUCAAACAAAAACUUGCCACGAAGAAUCGACACACCACGUCAAAGCAAUCGCAUACCUAGGUCAAGAAGUAAAACAAAUUAGUUACCGCGUGGCGUUGGACACGCGAGCACUCCUCGAAGAAGCUGCGAUCAUAAGAAACGGGAAGAGCUAAAUUAAUCCAGCUUUAACUCAUAAAAGCGUAUGAUUUUCACUUAUUCAUUGAAGCUAAAGCAGCGACUUACACUGGCAAAAUGGGAGCAAAAAGUAGAACCACUCAAAAAGCAACCCAAUCUUCGCUUUCUCUCUCUUUUUCACACACACACACACACACAAAUGUCAGAAAAAGCUGAAAAGAACAUGGAACAAUUGCCCAAGACGAAGAAAAACACCAAAACUAGCAGUCUCGAUGAAAACCCAGAAGCCACAAUCUUCACAGAAAGCCAACAGGUCGGUUCAACAGCCCAUUUCGCAGAACAAGAUCUCAUCGCGAGAAAACCCACCGCCCCCAUCCCGGAGGUAACCCAAGAAAAGAAGAGAAAAAGUCCACGCCUUCACGCGUUGACUCGACAAGAAACGCAAUAACACAGGAGGGGAAAACGCGAAAAGAGCGGAGCUCACGAGAUUGGCGUUGUUCCCGCGAGCCCAAUCAACGCGGAACUAGUGCUACCCAGAAGACCCAGAAGGUAAAAAAAACACGACGACUUCGACGAUGGAGAGAUGGAAGAAAUAGAGAGAGAGAGAGAGAGAGAGAGAGAAAAUCAGAACCUGCCACGGCCAAAUUGCAGCGCGGGAUGCGAUCGGUUGGAGAAUCUGUCCUCGGCGCAGGAGCUUUCAAUGCAUCCCCACUUCACUCAUUCCUCUCUCUCUCUCUCUCUCUCUAUAUCUGCGAAUUGUGGCUGUGGAGGGAAUCGGAGGAGAAGAAGAACAACGACGUUGUCCCUGGCUCCGCUGUUCAGUUCAGGCCAAAUGACAAAGGAACAAGAGAGAGAAAUGGAUCUUUCUAAGGCGGUGGUGGGAUGCUGCGGGAUACGUCUCUGCUGACAGUGACAGAUUUUGGCAUGUUGGUCCAAUUUUUUAAAUGAGAACGUGAAGAAGUGUUUCUUUUUCUUAAAAGAGUUAUUAUUAAAAAAAAAUCAUGAAUUGAUAAAUUUAUGAUAAAUUUACUUUACAUAAAUUUUCGUCAAAUGUGAUGGUUGACAAAUUUAUCGAUUUGAGAUUUCACCUUGGUUUGUUAGUUUAUGAUUUUCUGUGAUAUUUAUUGAACUUAAUGAAUACUAAUGGUAUGUGAGGUAGUGGGAGGAAAGAAGUACGGAAAAGAAAAAUGAAAUAAAUUUGAGACCGGGGUUUGGGGUGGAUCCUGAGAGGAUUUUUUUCUAUCAGAAAAAUAAAUAAAUGAGAUAAAAAAUAAUUUCGAAAGAUAAAAGUAUCAAAUAUUGAAUAAUGAUAAAUUUCCGUCAUUAUAUAAGAUUAUGACUUAUUUAAAUAAAUUUAUUCUAAUUUUUCAUUAAUCAUUAAUUUUAUCAAUAAUUUUUAUUAAAGUUAAAAACAUGUCUUCAAAAAUAGAUAUGCAUUAAUAUGAAUAUGUCUUUCGAAUUUUCAAUAAAUAGAUUUAUUAAUAAUAUUAUUAUAAAUUCAUUGAAGAUUCUUUUUAUUAUUUAUUUUUUUGUAAAUUUGAAUCAAAUUAAUUAAAAAUAAGAAUAUUUAUUUAAUAUACAACGUGUCUUAAAGUGUCGGAUUCUUUAUUUUUUAGAAAUGAUUUGUCGACGUAUCGUAUCGUGUCGUGUCGUGUCGUAUAUUCGCAUCGCGUGUUCGUGUCGUCAAUGCUAUAAUGUAAUUGAACCUUCGGCCACAUCCAUUCCUCCUGCCAGAUUUUUUCGAAAUGGACAAAUCCUGAUUUCCAUGCCUUCGGCCACAUUCAUCGAACCUACCCUUUGAUUGCAACGUCGGAUCAUGCCGACUAGACGCGUGAUUAGGAAUUUCAAGAAAUUGGUCAUGCUGAACGUAACUUCCUUACGGCAUAUCCCAAUGCAAAUCUUUCAAAUACAGGUAUUAAUGAAUUGGGAUGAGAAUUUUUGAACGUUAAUUUAAUGUGCAAUAUUGUUCUUAAAUGCUUAAUUUGUUCAAUGUUGUUUAUGAACUAUUCAUAAAUGUUGGAUGUUUUCCUUCAUCUUACUCAAAUGACAAAUCGGACUUCUCUAGAUGGAAUGGAUUAUUAUGAAGAUGAAUUAAUAUGUCUAUCCUUGUAUCCAUCUACUUUAAAAAAAGAGAAAUAAAAUUAUAGCGUUGAUAUACCCAUCUUUAUUUGGUGACGUGAAUUAUUAUAUCUUGAUUUCAGGUAAAUAUUUUACGUGGGUAGUUUAGGUGUAGUUUUUUUUUUUUUUUAAUUUGAGCCAUAUCAACAUAUUUUAUUAACUUGAAUUAACAGAAAUAACAAUAUUUAACAAUUUUAUAUAAUUUAUGGGCUAUAUUAAUUAUUUGCCAAUUGUUGAUAGAUCAUAUUAACGAAUUAAAAAAAUUUAGUCCAAAACUUAGGAAUCAUUUGUGUCAUUUUCCCUAAUAAAUUUAAAGGAUAGGUUCACUAAAAAUCCUAAAAUUGGUCACAAAGGUACAAUUGAGUCCUAAAAUUUAUAAAAAGUACAGCUAAGUACUAAAACUUAUCAAAUUAGUUCAAUCAAAAUCUUUCAUUAAUUCCGUCCAAUCUAACUAAUGAAAAAUGCCAACGUGGCGAUGAUGUGGCUUUUUCUAAAAGUACUUUAAUACAAAUUUAAUUUAAAUAAUUUAAAAAAAAACUAAUUUAAAAAGGUCAAAGUCUGGUAUAAUAAUCAAACGGCAUUAACCCACAAAAUACAAUCUCCCGAGCACCAGAGCGGCCGAAAUUAUCUUCAAUGUUGAAAAGGGCAACUAGGAGAAAUCGGACAAUGAUGUCGUAAGAGUAAAGUCUUUUCACGAGCUUGAUAAGGUCAACGUCCAACAUGUCCGAAGGAAAACUUUGCAGUUCAAUGGAUGAGAGAGAUUAGGAUCUUUCCGAGUACUUGACUCGAUGAAAGACGCAUGAGAUCAGGCUACAAUUGUCACAUGAUGUGUUAUUUCGGAAAGAACGAAUGAUUCGAUUUAAUUUCAUAGAUUGUGAGCAUCGCAAUGUAAUUUUCUCCACAAAGUCUCUUGAGAAAGUUAAAUCAAAUGGAGGGUAAUUAGCAUAUGAUAUCUUAGCUCUAUCGUAAAAGCAAUUCAUGUUGCUCCAACGAGAAUGAACUACGCCUUAAUUGUUUGAAAAGUCAUAAAGCUAUAUUUGGAAGUUAAUUCAAUUUUAAGUUAUUAAAUUGUGCCAAUUUAGUCAUAAACAUUUAGACAGUUUAUCAAUUUAGUCAUUUUGAUCAAUUUUGACUAGAACUCACUAAGGUCAUUCUAUGUGGCACUUGCACUAAUAUGAAUAAUUUUUUUUGUUUGUUCAUUUCUUCUUCAUCGGUCAAGAAGAGGAAAAUUUCAAAAUAAAAUAAAAUAAAAAAUUUACUCAUGCCAAUUUACCACGUAUGAUGGAUGGUUUCUACAAUAGCAAUUUUCGACCAAUAUUGCCUAGAAUGACAAUAUUAACAAUUCGUGAAAAUAUUUAUAAUUAAAUUGGUAUAAUUGAAAAUGUUAUAAUCGAACUGACUGUUAUAUAAUAGAUUUAUGAUUUUUUAGAUAAUUUUUCCAAUUAACGACAAUUGUGCAUCUCAAGAGUUGACAUUGUCAACGGCCGAAUACUUCGGGGGCAAAUCAUGUGAAUGGGAGCUCUGUGUAAAGUUGCUAGUCAAGUUCUCUACUGUCUUACGUGUUGUAUGAAUUUCAAGAUGAGAAGAUUUGAAGAUGAUGAUGAUGAUGAUGCUUAUGGAUAGAUUCGGUGGGGUCUGAAAUUUUCAAUUGCUUAGUUACCACACACAAGCGGGUAUUAUCCACUUAGAAAAAGCGUGUGACAAAGUUUCUUGCCUUGUACCCGACGUGAUAAUAAUGGAUGAGGCAAGAACCGUGACGUGGCACGUCAUUGUCUAGCUCAGCUGACUCGUUCUUCCACAGUGGACUUUUUGCAAUCAUCAAUACCUAAUCUGGAUUCUGAGGCCUAAACCAUAAGCAGUUGUCUUCCUCAGAUUUCAGCAUGAUCCACACGUUGUUUCUAAUCUGAUUUGACAUUUUGGGAUUUCUAUCGUAGAUUCGUUAAAAGGCCCGUGUUUUAUUCAAGGCCCAGCAGUUGCGGCCUCGACUCAACCGGGGCACCUCUCGUGGAUCUCUUUUUUUGGCCCAUCGUUUCUAGAAGCAGACCAGCAAUUCUUGUUACCUUGGUUCAUAUCAACUUCUGAUAUCUCCAUGUUGUCUAAAUAAGCCGGCGUUAGCUUCUAAUAAGUCACGGCGCGUUCGAGAGUUUUGAGCCAUGCUCGAGUCUUGUGGUGUCGUGUGGUGUCACCCGUGCUAAACAGAGUCGUGUGGUGUCACCCGUGCUAAACAGCUCGAAAGCAUUAGUAUUUACAAGAAAGAAAAGUUCAGACUCUUAUCAAGGUUAAGAGCUGGCAGUUUUGAGAAACUGGGUAUCUGCUCCACAAAUCACUUCUUCUUCUUCAGAGAGAGAGAGAGAGAAUAUGAGACACUUUUGCAAAAUUUGUCGGAACCUAUAAUUGAUCAUAUGAAGAAAUAUUUAAAAAGGCAGGCAUGGCAUUUUAACCGUCAGUCCCACAGGACUAGAUACCAAAUCUAAUCCCCCCCUUCUCCGUCCAGCUAUCUAUCAGUCACAACAGCCCUUUCACCAGCAACUCAUCCCAACAGUCCCGCCAGUCAAAAUGCCAAAUAAAUUCCAGUCUCAGAAAAUCAUCAUCACUCCACUUUCAAUGCAAAACAGAUCCCAGGUGGAUAGGGUAGGGCAUCCCGCAAUGACUCCAGGGCUCUCUACUUGUGAUUGAACCAGGGACCCAUCGCACCGUUGACGUGCCUGUUGCUGUGGUGCAUCCCUAUGCCAUUGGGCAUGACGGAAGGGGGAAGCCCCGCCGCCACUGGAGGGGGCACAGUCGGAUACAACCCCUGAUCGUGCGGCGGUAGCGUGUGGGGACUCACAAUAGGACUGCUAAGAGGGCUGCCCUUACGUUGUUGCUGAAUGGCGUGGAUCUGCCUAAGCCCCACUUCAUGAAUGCACGAGAUCGUCUCCAACUCUUUCAUUGAAAGUGCAUCCAGAUCAGCACCGUACAGAGGAGCAUGCCUAGACAUUUCUUCCCCGAGUUGAGUAACGAGUGAUUGGAUGCAUUCCUGCAAAGAGGAGGUGAAAUCUACGCAACAAAGAGAAAGCAGGACAAUCCAAAUUAAUACUAAAGCAUAUGCUUGAAUGAGAGUAGUUGGCACAAACCUGGUAGGCCUCCAAUCGUGCUUGCAUACUAUGAAUACGUUCUUCAUAUUCAGCAAUCCGCUCCUCCUUUUCCCGCUUUUCUCCUUCAGUUUGUCCCACUGUUUGUCUCAAUCUUCUAAUCUCGUCCUCAAGGGACUGCCGAAUCUCUUCUCGGGUAAUAUUUUCCGUCGCGUACCGCUUCGGCUCUUCAUCAGAUCUUUUCCUCCCAGCUUCCGCACUCUUCAGCUGCAAAAUCUGCGACUCUGCAUCACGAAGACGAUCUUGAAGGGCCUUCUUCUCAGAAGUGAGCUUUGCAAUUUCCUCCGCUCUCUCAGAGCGAAGCCCCUCAAGCUGGUUCUCUAGGUCCCGGACUUGUUCAGAUAAUUUUUUCCUUUCUGGUGCAACACGAUCCAUCUCGGCCUUCAUCUCAGACCGCCAAUUACAAGCAGUGUCAAACAAAAACUUGCCUCGAAGAAUCGACACACCACGUUAAGGCAAUCGCGUACCUUGGUCAAGAAGUAAAGCAAAAUAGUUAGCCUUAAGACGGGGUUGUUCGUCGCCUCAGAUUCUCACUCAGUUCCUGUGAUUACCGCAGCUUUUUCUCUAACCCUACCGGAGAUCUCGGCUUUCCUCUCUUCACGCAGGCGUGUGUGAUUUCUUCUUCCCUUGGACAAAAGCUUAGUGCCGAAGUUUUGUUCGCUGCCUCGUUUGGGACACGCGUUCGGACACGCAGUCGGACAGGUGGAAGAUUGAAGCGAGGAAAAGAAAAGUGAACUAAAUUUGAGGGACCGGGGUUUGGGAGUGGACCGUGAGAGGACUUUUUCAAUCAGAAAAAUAAAUAAAUGAGGUUAACAAAAGUGAUUUCGAAAAAUAAUAGUAUUGAAUUUUGAACAAUGAUAAAUUUUGGUCAUUGCAUAAUAUCAUAGACUUAUUUAAAUAAGUUUAUUCUAAUUUUUUAUAGGCAAUAAUAUUAUCAAUAACUUUGUUAAAGUUUAAAACAUGUCUUCAGAUAUGAAUACGCAUUAAUUAUGAAUAUGUCUUUCAAAUUUUCAAUAAAUAGAUUUAUUAAUAAUAUUAUUAUAAAUUCAUUGUAGAUUCUUUCUAUUAUUUAUUUUUUUGUGAAUUUGAAUAAAAUCAAUUAAAAAUAAGAAUAUUUAUUUAAUAGAUAACGUGUCAGAUUCUUUAUUUUUAAGAAAUAAUGUAUCAACGUGUCAUGUCGUGUUGUAUAUUUGCGUCGUGUGUUCAUGUCGCAUGUUGCAUGUCAAUGCUAUAUCGUUCUUAAAUGCUUAAUUUGGUCAAUGUUGUUUAUGAACUAUUCAUAAAUGUUGGAUGUUUUCCUUCAUCUUACUCAAAUGACAAACCGGACUUCACUGGAUGAAAUGGAUUAUUAUAAAGAUGCGCUAAUAUGUCUAUCCUUGUAUCCAUCUACUUUGAAAAAAGAGAAAUAAAAUUAUAGCAUUAAUGUAUCCAUCUUUAUUUGGUGACUCGGAUUAUUAUAUCUUGAUUUCAGGUAAAUAUUUUACGUGGGUACUUCAGGUGUAGUUUUUUAUUAUUAUAAUUUUUAUCCACCAUUCCAAAUUAACGGAUUAGGGCUUGUUUGUUAAUGUUCUUUGUUUUUGUUUAUAAACAAAAUUUCUGUUUUUUUGUUCUAGGGAACAAAAAAAGAACAGAAUCGUAUUUGUUUGUGCUUUUGUUCCAAAUCUAUUCUUUUGUUCCUAGGAACAUAUUUGGAACAGAAACAAAAAACAAGAAAAACGUGUUUCUUGUUUCUGAAACAAUUUUUAAGAACAAAAUUUCUCUCUCUUCUCUUUUUCUUCUCUCUUUUUUUUUCUUCUUUAUUUUUCUUUUUUCUUUAGCUGGUCGACGGCCUCGGCCAUGGCUGGCAAUCGGCUGUUGAGGGCUGGCGACCUUGUUGGAGCGUCGCCGCCCCCUGGCGAGGCCCAGCGUUGCCGGCCCCCGAUAAGGCUGAGCGUCACCGACCCCUGGCAAGGCUCGGCCUUGCUGGCGUGGGGCAAAGCUGGGCGAGCUCGGACUUGCCCAAAUCCGGCGAGUCCAAGCUUGCCUAGCCAAGGCGAGGUCGAGCCUCGCCCAACCACAAUGAGGCCUCGACCUCACUGGGGGCCGGUGAGCCUCGCCAUGGCUGGGUGAGGCCGUCGACCAUGGCCGAGGUCAGCAACCGGCCAAAAGAAGAAAAAAAGAAAAAAGAAAAAAGAAAGAAAAAUAAAAUAAAAAUAUUAAAAAAUUAAAAGAAACAAAAAAAAAAAAACACAAUUUUACCAAGCGUGUUUCUAUUCAAUUUUUAUUCUCGGAACAAGUUUACCAAACACGUUUUUUUGUUAAAAAAUUGUUCUCCAUAACAGAAACACUUUUUUCUAUUAGUCAUUUUGACCAAUUUUAACUAGAAAAGGUUGUUCUAUGUGGCGCUAGCACUAAUAUAAAUAAUUUUUUCAUUUUUUCCUCAUCGGUCAAGAAGAGGAAAAUUUCAAAAAUAAUAAUAAUAAUAAUAAAAUUUACUCAUGUCAACUUAUUAUGUAUGAUGGCUGGUUUCUACAAUAGCAAUUUCUGACCAAUAUUGCCCAAGAGGACUAUAUUAACAAUUCGUGAAAAUAUUUAUGAUUAAAUUGGUAUAAUUGAAAUGUUUAAAAUCGAAUUGAUUGUCAUAUAAUAUAUUUAGGAUUUUUUAGACAAUUUUUCCAUUCAACGACAAUUGUGCAUCUCAAGAAUCGGCAUAGUCAACGUCUGAAUACUUUGGGGGCAAAUCAUGUGAAUGGGAGCUCCGUGUAAAGUUGCUAGUCAAGUUCUCUGCUAUCUUUCGUGUUGUAUGAAUUUCAAGAUGAGAAGAUUUGAAGAUGAUGAGGACGAUGCUUAUGGAUAGAUUAGGUGCGGUCUGAAAUUUUCAAUUGCUUAGUUACCACACACAAGCGGGUAUUAUCCACUUAGAAAAAGCAUGUGACGGAGUUUCUUGCCUUGUACCCGACGUGAUAAUAGUGGAUGAGGCAAGAACCGUGACGUGGCACGUCAUUGUUCAGCUCAGCUGACUCGUUCUUCCACAGUGGACUUUUUGCAAUCAUCAAUACCUAAUAUGGAUCCUGAGGCCUAAACCAUAAGCCGCUAUUUUCCUCAGAUUUCAGCAUGAUCCACACGUUGUUUCUAAUCUGAUUUGACAUUUUGGGAUUUCUAUCGUAGAUUCGUUAAAAGGCCCGUGUUUUAUUCAAGGCCCAGCAGUUGCGGCCUCAACUCAACCGGGGCACCUCUCGUGGAUCUCUUUUUUUGGCCCAUCGUUUCUAGAAGCAGACCAGCAAUUCUUGUUACCAUGGUUCAUAUCAAUUUAUGAUAUCUCCAUGUUGUCUCAAUAAGCCGGCGUUAGCUUCUAAUAAGCCACGGCCCGUUCGAGAGUUUUGAGCGAUGCUCGAGUCGUGUGGUGUCACCUGUGCUAAACACCUCGAAAGCAUUAGUAUUUAUAAGAAAGAAAAGUUCAGACUCUUAUCAAGGUUAACAGCUGACAGUCUUAAGAAACUGAGAUUGCACAUGACAAAAUUUCUGAAACAUAAAUUGAUUUCUGACUAGAAAUCAAUUUCUUAAUUUCUAUUCCAUGGACAAGUUUCUAAGCAAAGAAACCCAUUUGAUAACAACUCAAAAUUUCUAUUUCUCAAACAUAAAUCCGUUUAAUAGCAGAACAAAAUUUAUAUUUCUAGGAAUAGAAAUCGAUUAGAUAACAACAUAGGAAAUCCUCAAAUACAAAAUAAUAGUCGAAAUAAUACUAAAACAAUAUAGGAAAUCCUCAAAUACAAAAUAAUAGUCGAAAUAAUACUAAUACUUUACAAAAGUUGAAAUACAAUUUCAUGGAAUUUCCGGCAUAGUAUUAUCCAUCGUCAUUUUAUUAGCAAUUGAUUUCCUAAGCAUAUUUAUUGGGUUUCCCUCAUCGGUCAAUGUAUCGUUUGCAAGUUCAUCUUGCGUAGGAUCAGACAAGUACUGCGGAAGCAUGAAUAUGGGUACUAUCAAUGGCGCCUAUACAGCAUUGUCAUUUUAUCAAAAAGUAUUAUACAAGAUUAUCAACAAAAUAAAAUUAAUUGUGUAAGGAAUAUAUGAGAAUUCUACCUUAAAGUAACGUUUAUGGUUAGGAACCAAUCGGGGGAAGGUUGGUUUAUUUUGAUUCUCGAAUUGAAUCAGUUCAGUUGCUCAUCCCUAAUUUCUUUAUUGUUGCUCAAUGAACCUUUAAUGGCCCUUCCAUAGCAAAGAGAGAGAUUCUCUUGAAUCUCUUGCCUUCGAAUUAAAAUUCAAAAUUGUGUAACAAUUUAAUUAUUUUGAUUUUGCAAGAAUUUUGAAUCCGUAAAAAAAUAAGGUUAAAUUUCUAGGUACGUUUUUUAUCCAUCUAUCACGUAAGCAUUUUUUCUUCAAUUGGUCAUGUGCGUGCCUUUUCUAGGAGGAAAUAAUCCUAUUGUUUUUAAAUAAGCUUUUAAGAACUUUGGUCGCUUUUUGAAAAUUGGGUACCCAUUCGAUUGCUUUUCAUCCUAAAGAGAAAGUUAUAAAAAAAAAUUUGAAAAAAAAAACACGAGCAAAAUAAGAAAAAGAAAAUUAACAAUAAUUUGUGAAGUUGUGGUUAUGAGUGAAUUAAGUUAGCAAGAAAGCGCAAAGUUCUUUCAUAUGGUUUGAUUUCAGUUUCUGAUUUCUAUUUCAGAAACUGAGAAAUUAAAAAUUUAAGCUUCUGAUUUCUUCAAUUUCUCUAUUUCUGGAAUAGAAAUCUAUUUCAAUAACAGAGAAAUCAAAUUACGUUACCAAAUGGAUUUCUGUUCCAAACUUGUUCCCGAGAACAGAGAAACAGAGAAAUCGAGAAACAGAAAUUUUGUUAUGGGCGCCCUGAGUAUCUGCUCCACAAAUCACUUCUUCUUCUUUAGAGAGAGAAAGUGAGAGAAUAUGAGACACUUUUGCAAAAUUUGUCGGAACCUAUAAUUGAUCAUAUGAAGAAAUAUUUAAAAAAAGCACUGUUACUCCCAUUGGACUAGACACCAAUCUAAUCCCCCCCCUUCUCCGUCCAGCUAUCUAUCAGUCACAGCAGCCCUUUCACCAGCAACUCAUCCCAACAGUCCCGCCAGUCAAAAUGCCAAAUAAAUUCCAGUCUCAGAAAAUCAUCAUCCCUCCACUUUCAAUGCAAAACAGAUCCCAGGUGGAUAGGGUAGGGCAUCCCGCAAUGACUCCAGGGCUCUACUGGUGACUGAACCAGGGAGCCAUUGCACCGUUGACGUGCCUGUUGCUGUGGUGCAUCCCUAUGCCAUUGGGCAUGACGGAAGGGGGAAGCCCCACCGCCACUUGAGGGGGCGCGUUCGGAUACAACCCGUGAUUGUGCGGCGGUAGCUUGUGGGGACUCAUGAUAGGACUGCUAAGAGGGCUGCCCUUACGUUGUUGCUGAAUGGCGUGGAUCUGCCUAAGCCCUUCUUCAUGAAUGCGCGAGAUCGUCUCCAACUCUGUCAUUGAAAGUGCAUCCAGACCAGCACCGUACAGAGGAGCAUGCCUAGACAUUUCUUCCCGGAGUUGAGUAUCGAGUGAUUGGAUAUAUUCCUGCAAAGAGGAGGUGAAAUCUAAGCAACAAAGAGAAAGCAGGACAACCCAAAUUAAUACUAAAGCAUAUGCUUGAAUGAGUUGUUGGCACAAACCUGGUAGGCUUCCAAUCGUG
This 12483-nucleotide long non-coding RNA is filed under the name Eucalyptus grandis. Its description in RNAcentral is "long non-coding RNA (EGRA_LNC001511)". The record is from RNAcentral. Lineage: Eukaryota; Viridiplantae; Streptophyta; Magnoliopsida; Myrtales; Myrtaceae.